GGAAAAGCUCAAGGUGUGAAAUUCAGUGGAAAAGUUGCUCCAGCUGCAGAAGCACCUGCUAAAGCUGUAUGUAUCUCCCUCAGUUUUAAUUUUUCGUGUUACUUCAUAUGUUUAUUAUUUCUGUUAUGUGCUGUAUAGUUGUAUGGUUUAUCUAUUUGAUGUAUUUCUUAGAGUAAAACCGGGUACAUUUUUUUAGUAAUAUACAGUGGAAUCAUAAAAUCUGAAUUAUCUUACACAAUGAUUUUGAGAUUUUUAUAACUUUUAACAUAUUUUGAAAUCGGGAUCUGUUGAGACUCCACAUUUGAAUUUGUCUUAUGUCUAACUUCAUGAUCCCUUUAAACCUGUACUCUUUUCAUCUUAAGUGAAAAUAAGCAAGAAGCUAAUACAGACCUAGACAGCUAGUAAUUUAUUUUGAGAAUGUAGAACUUGAUAUCUUGAUUUUGUAACAAUAUCUAUAUGUCUGUGUAUGUAAUGUACAGUUACUGAAAGAUUACUAUUAAUUAGGAGAUUGAUGUUGAAGAAUCUGCAAACAUUCUAGAAUUGGACUACAUAAAAUCUUUGACUUUAUAUAGUUAUUAAGUUAUUGUCAAUUGUAAAUAUGGUUAAAAAAUGUUAAGCAGUUAUGCCAGCCAUGCCCAAAAGUGAAAAACAAUAAUUAUGAUUGCCAACUCUCUAGUGUUUUGUAUUCUCCUUUGUCAUAUUUUGAAUCUUUGAUUUUAUUUAUUGGUCUAAGAAUUUGUUUCGAAUAUAGUAUGCCUAGAAGACAUUUUGUAAUUUUCAUUAUCAAUACUACAAAGAAAUAAAUAAUCCACAAGAAAAAGGACAGUACUUCUCGUCUUUCAUAUUACUGUAUUUGAAACAUUAUUGCCAAAGUACUCUAUUUUUAUUUGAGAAGUUAAGUCAGUUUGUUUCAAACAUUUCCAACAAUUUUAUUAUUGAAAUUGCUUUUAGCCAAGAUAGCAACAUGGAUGGUUUUUUAGAGUAGUAUUAAGGACAACCAGUACUGUAGAGCUCCUUUCUUAAUGAGAUCAUUGCAUGUUUAUUAUAGGCAAUUAGGCAUCGUUUUAUCUUGUUUUUUGUAUUUUUUGAGGCUUAAGUUGUAUAAUACUAUAGUUUACUUUUGACAUGACAUACUAUAAGGAUGGAACAUAACUCAUCCUGUGUUUGUUGAACCUGAUAGUGAUGUUUACUAAGUGACAUAGUUGUUAGCUAAGUUAGUUACUAUGAAAGGAUAGUGCUUUUUUCUUGUAGAAAAAAUACUUCUAAAACUUUGACUUUAUAUUAUACACAUGCCCAAGUUGUUGUGAAGUUUAGGUUAUUGUUGUUACAGUUGUAUUGAAGUCACUGAAGGAUCUACUAACUAAUUUGAUCAUUGGAAUUUAUUUUUGUCAGGCUGCACCUGCUGCUGAAGAUGAUGAUGAUCUUGACCUCUUUGGUGAUGAAACAGAGGAGGAUAAGAAGGCAGCAGAGGAAAGGGAGGCAUCUAAAAAGCCCGCAAAGAAGAAAGAGAGUAAGCUCUCUUUCUAGUGGCUAUAAAUUUUUAUUAUUUUACAUUAAGCAUAAGCAUAGUUUUGAGAAAAGUGAUCAUUGAGUUGGUUUGAUCCUCUUAAUUUUUCAUGUUAUUUUGGUGAGGUUGGAAUAUUGUUA
This 1647-nucleotide long non-coding RNA is filed under the name Medicago truncatula (barrel medic). Its description in RNAcentral is "long non-coding RNA (MTRU_LNC003631)". Lineage: Eukaryota; Viridiplantae; Streptophyta; Magnoliopsida; Fabales; Fabaceae. The record is from RNAcentral.